This 497-nucleotide ribosomal RNA is filed under the name uncultured bacterium. Its description in RNAcentral is "partial 16S ribosomal RNA". It matches the Rfam family "Bacterial small subunit ribosomal RNA", at positions 28 to 507 of the family's 1533-position model. The record is from RNAcentral.
GAUGAACGCUGGCGGCGUGCCUAAUACAUGCAAGUCGAGCGAACAGACGAGGAGCUUGCUCCUCUGACGUUAGCGGCGGACGGGUGAGUAACACGUGGAUAACCUACCUAUAAGACUGGGAUAACUCCGGGAAACCGGAGCUAAUACCGGAUAAUAUAUUGAACCGCAUGGUUCAAUAGUGAAAGUCGGUUUUGCUGUCAGUUAUCGAUGGAUCCGCGCCGCAUUAGCUAGUUGGUAAGGUAACGGCUUACCAAGGCAACGAUGCGUAGCCGACCUGAGAGGGUGAUCGGCCACACUGGAACGUGGACGCGGUCCAGGCGCCUACGGGACGCAGCAGUAGGGAAUGUUCCGCAAUAGGCGAGAGCCUUACGGAGCGACGCGGCGUGAGAGAUGAAGGUGUUGGGAUCGUAAAACUGGGUUAUUGGUGAAGAACAAAUGUGUAAGUAACUAUGCACGUCUUGACGGUACCUAAUCAGAAAGCCACGGCUAACUACGUG